This 284-nucleotide ribosomal RNA is filed under the name uncultured bacterium. Its description in RNAcentral is "partial 16S ribosomal RNA". It matches the Rfam family "Bacterial small subunit ribosomal RNA", at positions 335 to 636 of the family's 1533-position model. The record is from RNAcentral.
GCCCUACGGGGCGCAGCAGUGGGGAAUAUUGCGCAAUGGGGGAAACCCUGACGCAGCAACGCCGCGUGAGUGAAGAAGGCCUUCGGGUUGUAAAGCUCUUUAAUCAGGGACGAAGAAUGACGGUACCUGAAGAAUAAGCUCCGGCUAACUACGUGCCAGCAGCCGCGGUAAUACGUAGGGGGCAAGCGUUAUCCGGAUUUACUGGGUGUAAAGGGAGCGUAGACGGCGAUGCAAGUCUGAAGUGAAAGGCGGGGGCCCAACCCCCGGACUGCUUUGGAAACUGU